AUGCACAAAAAAAAGUUAAUCUCAAACAUGUUUAGCGCAAAAGGAAAUAGCACGGCGACGUCUCCCGAAUUAACUCUUGAAUCAAACAAAUUGUUCAACAAAAUUCAAACAAAACUCCUUCCAAUUGACUCAACUAUAACCAAAACAUUGUUAACAUUAAAACUUAAUAUUAACACAAGUGAUACCGUCAUUCACGCUUCAAACACCAUUAAUACAGAUAACAAUCCAAUACUUCAAUUGAUUUAG
Molecule: non-coding RNA, 246 nt
Organism: Vicia faba (fava bean)
Lineage: Eukaryota; Viridiplantae; Streptophyta; Magnoliopsida; Fabales; Fabaceae
Source: the annotation of a GenBank genome assembly